This is a long non-coding RNA of Corticium candelabrum, 1326 nucleotides long. RefSeq lists it as uncharacterized. The record is from RefSeq and is a predicted model, not a curated record. NCBI's taxonomy places the organism in Eukaryota, Metazoa, Porifera, Homoscleromorpha, Homosclerophorida, Plakinidae. The transcript is spliced from 4 exons.
GUGUGUGUGUGUGUGUGUGUGUGUGUGUGUGUGUGUGUGUGUGUGUGUAUGUGUGUGAGUGUGCGUGUGUAGUGUGUGCAUGCUUCUGGCAUGUGAUCAGGCAGCUGGGCGUUCUGACGGGGGUUAUAGAAGCACUUUGUCAUACUACUUACUAUCAUUAUUUCAUUAAUUAAACUGCUUACUAAUUGGUAAUGAUGCUGGUAAACGUCGCCCUGGACUUCUAGCGUGCGCUCACUCUAGGACACGUGCAAUGCAUACUGGCAUUACCAUGUUGACGGGCGGACAUUUGGUAACAACAGGUAUGUACUAAGGUGUACAAGUACUCAGAAAUUGGUACGUGUUUACAUCUGUUACAUGUCGUCUGUUUUUCAUUCUGUAGUUGAACUUGAGCUCUAUGCUAGACUUGUCAUGAGUUUGGCUAUGUUUUGUUUGCGAACGGCGUCAAUGCACUAGCUCUUUCAUCUGAUACAGAAUGGAAACAGCAUGAAGAAGCGCACAGAAAGGAUGAUUUAUUGCUCAAUAAUAGUGCAUCGUCAUCUGUUGAGAGCACACAAAAGGAAGCCAAAUAAAUGCCUUGACCGGAGUUCAGUAUAAGACACAGCAAACACUAAAACGACACAGGAGGAAACAAUAAGUUGAAGAGUCUAACAGAACACAAUGUCACACGGUGUUACAUCAUAACAUGGACAUGGGAAUACGUGAACUUGAAUUCAAUAGCUGUGAUGAAUUUUUUGAGUGCAAAAAGGAGGAAGAGAGGAAGACAUGCACAUACUACAGAAGAGAGAGGUCAAAGAAGCCAACCCAAGGUUGUAGCACAAUUUUAGUGUGUACUAUGGUUACUGCAUAGGCAUAAGAAACAAGGGGGAGAAGCGGGGCACGUGCCUCUUUAACUUCCAGCAAACUGAGUAGAUCUUGUCAAGUCGCAUAUUUCUCUAAACAUGCCUAGCAUUUACGCACGCUGCUUUGCUGUGUUUGAUGUAUAAGACUUGUGAUAUAGACAUACAACCAGCCCAGUUGUUGUUCUGUACCAUGCCUUGGUAGACAAACGUGUGUCCCUCUAACUGAAUUAGAUUCCUAUACCUAUGUAUUAUUGUGAUUGAUAUAUCAGCUAUAAUUUGAUAUAAUUGCCACUGUAAUCGUAGGAAGCCAAGAAUGCAAAAACGGAAACAAUUUGUCUCUCCAAGAUCAACGCAAAAUUUUAUCCAAACGGCAAAGUCAACGUAUGGUAUGUGAGUGGACACACAAAUCACUCGCCAAAUCUAUUCGAAAUGCCAUACAUUUCCUUACCUGAUGAUGUCAAAGACAUAUUUUCACAAAAGCUGGCAA